Molecule: ribosomal RNA, 480 nt
Filed under: uncultured bacterium
Lineage: Bacteria
Description: bacterial SSU rRNA
Rfam family: Bacterial small subunit ribosomal RNA
Source: RNAcentral
GAUGAACGCUGGCGGCGUGCUUAACACAUGCAAGUCGAACGAAGCACUUAAGAAUGAUUCUUCGGAUGAAUUUUUUUGUGACUUAGUGGCGGACGGGUGAGUAACGCGUGGGUAACCUGCCUCACACAGGGGGAUAACAGUUGGAAACGACCGCUAAUACCGCAUAACCCGCUAGGGCCGCAUGGCCCGGACGGAAAAGAUUUAUCGGUGUGAGAUGGACCCGCGUUGGAUUAGCUAGUUGGCAGGGUAACGGCCUACCAAGGCGACGAUCCAUAGCCGGCCUGAGAGGGUGAACGGCCACAUUGGGACUGAGACACGGCCCAAACUCCUACGGGAGGCAGCAGUGGGGAAUAUUGCACAAUGGGGGAAACCCUGAUGCAGCGACGCCGCGUGAGUGAAGAAGUAUUUCGGUAUGUAAAGCUCUAUCAGCAGGGAAGAAAAUGACGGUACCUGACUAAGAAGCCCCGGCUAACUACGUGC